RNAcentral lists this ribosomal RNA (440 nucleotides) under uncultured bacterium. Its description in RNAcentral is "partial 16S ribosomal RNA". It matches the Rfam family "Bacterial small subunit ribosomal RNA", at positions 338 to 795 of the family's 1533-position model. The record is from RNAcentral.
CCUACGGGCGGCAGCAGUGGGGGAUAUUGGACAAUGGGGGGAACCCUGAUGCAGCGACGCCGCGUGAGUGAAGAAGUAUCUCGGUACGUAAAGCUCUAUCAGCAGGGAAGAAAAUGACGGUACCUGACUAAGAAGCCCCGUCUAACUACGUGCCAGCAGCCGCGGUAAUACGUAGGGGGCAAGCGUUAUCCGGAUUUACUGGGUGUAAAGGGAGCGUAGACGGCAGCACAAGUCUGGAGUGAAAUCCCGGGGCUUAACCCCGGAACUGCUUUGGAAACUGUGCGGCGGGAGUGCAGGAGGGGUAAGCGGAAUUCCUGGUGUAGCGGUGAAAUGCGUAGAUAUUAGGCGGAACACCGGUGGCGAAGGCGGCUUACUGGACUGUAACUGACGUUGAGGCUCGAAAGCGUGGGGAGCAAACAGGAUUAGAUACCCGGGUAGUC